RNAcentral lists this long non-coding RNA (1423 nucleotides) under Eptatretus burgeri (inshore hagfish). RNAcentral describes it as "lncRNA (ENSEBUG00000017157.1)". The record is from RNAcentral. Lineage: Eukaryota; Metazoa; Chordata; Myxini; Myxiniformes; Myxinidae.
CAAUCUCAUGUUGCCUGUCUUGUAGGCAAUACUAAUGGCAUCGUAUAAUCUUUUGGUUUGAUUUAUGUUACAGGAUCACACAUGCUGAUUCCAGGGAUACUUUUUUAACCACCAGGUCCUUUUAUUCCAGGCACUCAAGAUAGCAUGGCGCAGCCACAUUCACUGAGUGAACUUGAGCAAGGGCAAAGUCUCCAUUCUGGGGAAUAUUGUUUUGUCAAGGGUAUAGACAUUGCACCUUCUGAGCCCUUCACAUGUGCAUCGGGCUCGUUGAACUUUCAGUCAGAGGAUGCUCACGAACCUGCACAAGUGAAUGAGUGUGUGGAGGACAAAACCAAAUCACUUAGCAAGAAAGAAAAGAAACGAUUGAAGAAAGAAAGACAAUUGCUUGAAAUGAAGAAACAGAAAGAGUCUCCAAGGGAUGCAGAUUCGUGCAGCAGUUACAGUACACCUUUGCCAGUUGUGGCAAGUGGAAUUGAAGGUGCUGGUGAUGGAAAAGAAGACUCUUUGGUUUUAAAAAAGGAAGGAGAAAGCUUAGAGUCUCAGUUCAGUGUUUUGGGAGAUGCGGAGACUCAACCUGUUGAACCCCCCACAGUUUCCCAGAGGUCAAUGGACUUCACAUCCAAAGUUCCGGAAGAGGUGCUGGAGGACAAAGUUGAUGAAAUGACGGAACUCAGCAAGAAAAAACAGAAACAGGAGACCUGGAAAAAAAACAACAAGGAAAGAAUACGCAAAAGAAAACAAAAGGCUGAGAAUGGAGGGCAUUCAUCUGAUUGUCUCAUGACUUCACCUGCACUCAACAAGUGUGGGACAGACACAGGGAAGGGAGGAGAUAAAUUCAAGAAAGGACAAAAUAACAAUACCUCUGGAGGAUUUCCCACUGAAGGAAAACCAAAUGAUGCAGUGUUUAAACAGUGCGAAGGGCAAAGCUCACUUGGAGAAACGAAGACUGAGGUUUCUUCGAAUUGUCAAACCAAGGCUGGAGGACCUUCUGAGAAUAUCCCUGAGAGUAAACAAAGACAAACAAAACCUAACAAAUCGAAACCUGCAGACCCUGCAAGCAUUGCAGCUGGGCUGAACAAGGGCAAGGCAGAGGAGAAGAGUGAUGACCACAAAACUUUAUCUUCAUCAGACAAGUCUACCAAAGGUGGAACUUGUUCCCAUGGGGCAUUAUACAGAUUAAAACGUUUGUUUAAGAUACUAACAAAAUGCAAGCUGUGCAAUGUGAUUAAAACUUUGAUAAAGAGGGUUUUAUAUCACAACUUUUGACUUUUUCUUUAGUGUACAAAGUCAAGACUCGUGGCAGAGCUAAAACACAGAAUGGACCAGGACGCAACAGAAUAAUACAAACAGCAGAAAAAUAAUGGGUGGUAGUGGAGAGGGGGUUGUAUACACCAACAGCAGGGAUGAGGGAUGAAAAAAGAGG